This 76-nucleotide transfer RNA is filed under the name Rhodospirillaceae bacterium. RNAcentral describes it as "tRNA-Thr". It matches the Rfam family "tRNA". Rfam says of the family: Transfer RNA (tRNA) molecules are approximately 80 nucleotides in length. Their secondary structure includes four short double-helical elements and three loops (D, anti-codon, and T loops). Lineage: Bacteria; Pseudomonadati; Pseudomonadota; Alphaproteobacteria; Rhodospirillales; Rhodospirillaceae. The record is from RNAcentral. RNAcentral also lists the same sequence under 5 other names.
GCUGCUUUAGCUCAGCUGGUAGAGCAUCUCAUUCGUAAUGAGAGGGUCAGGUGUUCAAGUCACCUAAGCAGCACCA